This 468-nucleotide ribosomal RNA is filed under the name uncultured bacterium. Its description in RNAcentral is "partial 16S ribosomal RNA". It matches the Rfam family "Bacterial small subunit ribosomal RNA", at positions 28 to 507 of the family's 1533-position model. The record is from RNAcentral.
GACGAACGCUGGCGGCGUGCUUAACACAUGCAAGUCGAACGGAAAGGCCCUGCUUUUGUGGGGUGCUCGAGUGGCGAACGGGUGAGUAACACGUGAGUAACCUGCCCUUGACUUUGGGAUAACUUCAGGAAACUGGGGCUAAUACCGGAUAGGAGCUCCUGCUGCAUGGUGGGGGUUGGAAAGUUUCGGCGGUUGGGGAUGGACUCGCGGCUUAUCAGCUUGUUUGUGUGGUAGUUGCUUACCAAGGCUUUGACGGGUAGCCGGCCUGAGAGGGUGACCGGGCACAUUGGGACUGAGAGACGGCCCAGACGCCUACGGGAGGCAGCAGUGGGGAGUAUUGCACAAUGGGCGGAAGCCUGAUGCAGCAACGCCGCGUGCGGGAUGACGGCUUUUGGGGUGUAAACCGCUUUGGACUGUGACGAAGAGUGAGUGACGGUAAUGGGUAAAGAAGCACCGGCUAACUACGUG